Molecule: small nuclear RNA, 285 nt
Filed under: Chinchilla lanigera (long-tailed chinchilla)
Lineage: Eukaryota; Metazoa; Chordata; Mammalia; Rodentia; Chinchillidae
Description: 7SK RNA (ENSCLAG00000022204.1)
Rfam family: 7SK RNA
About the family: 7SK was discovered as an abundant small nuclear RNA in the mid-70s but a possible function has only recently been suggested. Two independent studies have found that 7SK RNA binds the CDK9/cyclin T complex (known as elongation factor P-TEFb). P-TEFb activates transcription by phosphorylating the C-terminal domain of RNA polymerase II.
Source: RNAcentral
AGACAUGAGGUUGACAUGUCUGAGACAUCUGUCACCCCUUUGAUCACUAGGAUUGAUUUGGCUGAUCUGGCUGGCUAGGCAAGUGCCCCCUUCCUUUCUCCCUCACCACUCCAUAUGUGUCCUUCCUGAAGCUGCACGCUCAGUCGAAAAGGACAACAUUCCCUGAUCGAAGAGGACUGUUUCCUAGGUCAAGGGUGUAUACGUGACUACACUCCCCUGCUAGAACCUCCAAAGCAGCUCUUACACUCCUUUAUACAUGGGACACCACCCAAACCAUACUCCCAG